GUGAGUCAUCGAAUCUUUGAACGCACAUUGCACCCGGUGGUAUUCCGCCGGGUAUGCCUGUUCGAGCGUCUGUAGAACAACACCAAGACCAAGCUUAGGCUUGAUUUUGAGGUUGCUGCUUCGGCUGCAGCCUUUAAGUAGAGGUGGCGGCGUCCGAUGGACUCUAAGCGUAGUAAUUUCUCCUCGCUACAGAGUCUGCCGGCGCAUUUGGUACUCACUCCAAGCCAACCAAACCCCCCAAUUUAUUUGACCUCGGAUCAAGUAGGGAUACCCGCUGAACUUAAGCAUAUCAAUAAGCGGAGG
Molecule: ribosomal RNA, 303 nt
Filed under: uncultured fungus
Lineage: Eukaryota; Fungi
Description: eukaryotic LSU rRNA
Rfam family: 5.8S ribosomal RNA (bases 1-71)
Source: RNAcentral